AAAUAGCUUGUGAACUUCGAAAGGCGUUUUUAAUUGUUCAAGGCAAUCAACACAAGCAAAUAAAUGUACCAAGUAAAAAAAAAAACAUAGUUCAUUUAUUUGAAUUAUUUGAAUCGCUCCCAAAGUCCCUGCCAGCAAAACCCAGUAGCCUGGGGAGGAGUUGAUCUCCUCUCAAAUGUCCUCUCUGGACUUCUGUACCUGGACUUCCAUAUGUUGUAAUAUAAAACAGAUCUUCUAUCUUCUACUGUAGAAAGGUGAAUAUUUUAAGAAAGUUUGAAAGGCAUAUACUCAAAUGUCUGUUUUGGUCUAAUGAAACCAUUAAGUAUUUGAUCAAAUGUAUUUUAGUAGUGGGCAAGGUCAUUGGCUGUCUUCUUUUGUAAUCAUUGAGCCUAUGUCAAUAAUGUAUUUAUUCAAAUGUUAUUCAAAAUAUGUAGCUGUGGAAUACCUUCCAUCCUCUGGAGCUGGUCAGACCUGCUUUAGAGAGAACACUGAAGACCUUACAGCUUGACUAUGUGGGCCUAUACAUUGUUGAAUUGGACACUGCCUUCAAGGUACAGCAAUGACUGAAUAUUGAAUACAAUUCUAUCACUCUACAUUUCUACCUAAAAUGUGUAGUUUCGUGAAGCCAGGAGACACAUUCUACCCCAAGGCUGGAAUGGGAAGUACUUAUACCAUGAUACAGACCUCUGUGCCACAUGGAAGGAUUUAGGGGCUUGCAAACAUGCUGGCCUAACCAAGUCUCUGGGAGUUUCCAACUUCAACAAGAGGCAGCCAGAGCUGAUCCUGAAGAAACCAGGCCUCGAACACAGACUGGUCUCAAAUCAGGGUGAAUCUGACCUGUCCGCCCUUGUUGGAAGAUGAGCUCUUGGUGUACAUUGCCCACAAGUACAAGAAGACUACAGCUCAGAUGUCCCCGUGGUUCAACAUCCAGAGAGGGGUGCUAGUCAUCCCUAAGAGCUUCAACCCACAGCACAUAAAGGAUAACUGUUAGGUCUGUGUGAAUCUAAGACACAUGUGCCAUUUGAAUAAUGUCAGAUUGUGGGACACAACAUUUUAUGUAUUGGGAGUGCAAAAUGUAUUUAGCUACAAUUGUUAUUGACUAAGUGAAGGAUAACUCCUGAAGCAUAUGAUGUCACAUUCAUGUUUCCCUCAUAUCUCCCAAUGAAGAUAUUUUACUUUUCCCUAACUGAGGCUAAAAUGAAGGCAAUAGAGGACCUAAACAAGAACAUUCGGUUGGUGGAGCUUCUCAUGGAGAGUGACCAUCCAGAGUACCCCUUCAUGACAAUUACUAGACCUGGCUUCUACAGACAGAAAUGUAAAAAUGCAAUUCAUAUUUGCUCAAAUUAAGUUCCUUACUGUUAUUUGUAGGCUACUUUACGUAUUGUUCUCUGGCUUUGUAAUGUAAUAUCGCAUUUCAAGGUAAGACACAGAUGCAGACAACGUCAAAUUAACAGCAGUUUAUUAAUCCAACAGGGGCAGGCAAAGACAGGUCAGGGGCAGGCAGGGGUCAAUAAUUCAAAUAGGUGGGGCAAAGGUACAGAACGGCAGGCAGGCUCAGGGUCAGGGUAGGCAGAGGUCAGUAAUCCAGAUAGGUGGGGCAAAGGUACAGGACAGCAGGCAGGCUCAGAGUCGGGGUAGGCAGAAAAGGUAAAAACCUGGAAAACUAGGAAACAGGAGCCAUCAAGAGACAGAAACAGGGGGAAAACCGCUGGUAGGCUUGACAAAACAAGACAAACUGGCAACAGACAAACAGAGAACACAGGUAUAAAUACACAGGGGAAAAUGUGCAACACCUGCAGAGGGUGGAGACAAUCACAAAGACAGGUGAAACAGAUCAGGGUGUGACAUAUAAAUCAUGUGUGCAUAAUAUAAUGCAUCAACCACAGUAGUAUUAUAAUAAAACAUUUUAAAAAGUUUUAAAACUAUUUUUAUUGAAUAUUCACAAAAAAAUAAACAA
This is a long non-coding RNA of Oncorhynchus mykiss (rainbow trout), 1957 nucleotides long. RefSeq lists it as uncharacterized. NCBI's taxonomy places the organism in Eukaryota, Metazoa, Chordata, Actinopteri, Salmoniformes, Salmonidae. The record is from RefSeq and is a predicted model, not a curated record.